GCCGCUUUCCGCCGCCGGCGGACUGUGGAGUCUCCGCCAUUUCACGGAUCCGUGGCCCGCCGCCGAUGACACACCGGAUUUGAGGGAGGCUACAGGCUUCGCGGUGUCAAAGUCGCCCGGGCGGCACGUCAAGGUCGGGGCCAGACCGGCCCGUGUUCGCCCCCCUCCCUCCGCCGCGCCGGCCUUCGAAUCCGCCGCCGUCCACCCCCAAUCGGUGUCUUCCACGGUCCCGGCCUCAUCCCCUCCCUUGCAAGGCAUCCGCUGCCCCGGGUCAGUGGCACCAUUUUUCUCUGCCGCCUGCCUUGCUCCGUUGCGCCGGCCGGCCUCCUUGCUUCACCCACAGCACGGCGCGUGCCUACCUUGUGCGGGAUCCGGCAUCCCACCGCCAAACCAUCCCCCAUUCCCCGCUCCACCCCGGCUCUGUGGCCAUCCUUGUGCUCCCCACAGCAAGCUCCCCCCCCACGGCCUUCAACCUCAUCCAUUCCACACCCUCCAUUGCUCCUCCCGUCCCGCUGGUCUGCACCCUUGGCAGCGGUGUGCCAUGGCCGGCCAAGGGGACAACGGGUUCGGCAACUACCCACAGCCGGACCCCUGGUUCUCGACCGGCUUCAACCCCUACUUCGGCUCGUCGUCGAGCCAAGCGCCGGGCACCGGAGGCAUGCUACCGCCGCCGCAUGGGUUGUCCGGUUUCAGUAGCGCACCGCCGGGCAGCGGAGGCCCCAAUGUGCCGCCAUUUCCUUACUCUGGGUACGAGCAUCACUCCCUGUACUUCGGCGCUCCUCCCACAGUAAUGCCCCCCACGGAGCCAUGUCUGCACUGGCGCAUCCGUACUACUAAUGAGCACCUCCUACCAGCGGACACUCCCUUGCAGAACCUGCAAGGCAUUCCACCGCAUCCAUGGUGCCAUGGGAUGGUGGACCCUCUGCAUCCGUCCCGUCGAUUCCAAUGCCUCAAGUUCAUUGCGUAUACGGGCAAUGCAAUAAUGGGUAACCUUUGCCAUGGGCUCCGGUUGCUAUGGGCGACGAUAUCUCUGCUUCCUCAGCUCCCGGACGUCGGAUCACCCCAAGCCAAACACGCCGGGAGGCGCCGUCCCCCGUUCCUAUUCCGUCAAGCAACGAUGAGUCAAAUGCAUCCGAGGAUGAUGACGCUGGAUUGUCGUCGAACAAGACCCGUAGAGCCAACUGGAAUGAUUCUCGAACGGAAGCGUUUUGUGAACUAUGGCUGGAACAAAUGCAGCAAGGAAACUGUCAAGAGGGUAAAAUGUCUCGUUUAGGGUGGAGGAACCUGGUUAAGGCUUUCAAAGAAAGAGCAGGGUGGAACCAUGAUAAGAAUCAGUUGCUUGCUAGGUACCGGUAGCUAAAAAUCUUCCAUGCUUGUUUGACUGUAUUGAAAAGCAGCACAGGGGGUGGCCGAGCAGGGGGCGGCUACAAGGCCUGCAAAGAUGUUUGGGAUCACUACACUAAAAAGCUGAAGGAGGUGGAGCGCUUGAAGUUCGAGGAGCCAAGUUGGGCUUCUUUGCUGCCCGCCAUGUUCAAGGAUGUUGCCAUUAAGUGGGGCUCCAUGCUUGGAACAGCGGCCGCACGGAGCACAGAAGAGCGGGAUUCCGCGGACACCCCUGCCCAGGAUAGCACCUCUCUACCAACAUCAGGUAGCCGCAAGAGGGGAAGCAGUGACGCAACCAAAUCGACUGCUGACAGCCCUUCCAAGAAGGAGCAACCAGCAAUGUCCCCAACAAGCAGCAGUCGGUCCAAAAAAUAAAAAACGGUGCUACAAAAACUUUUAGGCAAGCUGAAAGCAAAUGAUGGCGAAACUGCAAAGGCGAUCACCCAGCUUAAUGACAAGCAGCAUCAGCGGAUCCAAGAGCAACGUGAGGCAUAUAUGCAUUGCUUGCAGUUGGCAGUUGAUUGUGGGAUCGAUGAGGCGAGCGAGGAGUACUUUUUUCUUCAUGACCAUUUCAAGGACGAGCGAGAAUGAGACGCGUACUUGUCCCUGAAAACACGUGAAGCUAGGUGGAUUUGGAUCUAGAGAGCGUUCGAGAGGCGGCGUUGAUUGAGUGGUUACCAGUACCGUGAACAUUCAGUUAGGUCGUACUGCAGUAGUGAUGUGUUGUCGUGCCGUAGUGCGUAUGUUGUCCUAGGAACUAUUUAAUUAAGGGUCUGUAAUUUGCUAGAACCACUGUACCGUGUUGUUUAAUUGUAUUCGUACAAUGUAUCGGGGUGUGCAUGCAUGAGUAAUUUCUAUACUAUG
Molecule: long non-coding RNA, 2247 nt
Organism: Panicum virgatum (switchgrass)
Lineage: Eukaryota; Viridiplantae; Streptophyta; Magnoliopsida; Poales; Poaceae
Exons: 4
Source: RefSeq, a predicted model, not a curated record